Pelobates cultripes (western spadefoot toad) is the source of this 323-nucleotide non-coding RNA. The record is from the annotation of a GenBank genome assembly. Lineage: Eukaryota; Metazoa; Chordata; Amphibia; Anura; Pelobatidae.
GGGGGAUAGGGGGAACUUAAUAUGGGUUUUACCCCACAGCUCUGCCAGAGCUGUUGGGUAACCACCGCUGUGAAUUGGGUUCCCUGAUCCGACACUAUCUCCCUAGGGAAUCCCACCCUAGUAAAUACCCGAACCAGUGCUUCCGCUACCGUCUCUGCAUGUAUAUUUGACAGAGUUAUAGCUUCGGGGUAGCGGGUAGCGUAGUCCACCACAGUAAGAAUGUAUUUCUUACCGGAUGGACUGGGUUUGCUGAGUGGCCCGACUAAAUGCCACUCGGAAAAAUGGUUCCUCAAUGAUGGGUAGGGGAUGUAGUUUUGCCCUGG